Molecule: small nuclear RNA, 161 nt
Filed under: Sorex araneus (European shrew)
Lineage: Eukaryota; Metazoa; Chordata; Mammalia; Eulipotyphla; Soricidae
Description: U1 spliceosomal RNA (ENSSARG00000015195.1)
Rfam family: U1 spliceosomal RNA
About the family: U1 is a small nuclear RNA (snRNA) component of the spliceosome (involved in pre-mRNA splicing). Its 5' end forms complementary base pairs with the 5' splice junction, thus defining the 5' donor site of an intron.
Source: RNAcentral
UAACUAAAAGGGGAGACAAGCAUGAAUAUUAAAAUUUUAAAAAUGGGCCAAGAGUUUUAUUCAUUGCUCCUUGAAUGUGCUGACCCCUCUCAUUUACCCAAAUGUGGAAAAUUCAACUGCAUGAUUUGUGGUAGUGGGGACUACAUUUGAGCUUCCCCCUU